Molecule: ribosomal RNA, 386 nt
Filed under: Picochlorum sp.
Lineage: Eukaryota; Viridiplantae; Chlorophyta; Trebouxiophyceae
Description: partial small subunit ribosomal RNA
Rfam family: Eukaryotic small subunit ribosomal RNA
Source: RNAcentral
AUUCCAGCUCCAAUAGCGUAUAUUUAAGUUGCUGCAGUUAAAAAGCUCGUAGUUGGAUUUCGGGUGGGAAUGGCCGGUCCGCCGUUUCGGUGUGCACUUGCUAGUCCCACCUUGCUGCCGGGGACGUGCUCUUGGGUUUCGGCUCGGGACACGGAGUCGGCGAGGUUACUUUGAGUAAAUUAGAGUGUUCAAAGCAGGCCUACGCUCUGAAUACAUUAGCAUGGAAUAACACGAUAGGACUCUGGCCUAUCUUGUUGGUCUGUAGGACCGGAGUAAUGAUUAAGAGGGACAGUCGGGGGCACUCGUAUUUCAUUGUCAGAGGUGAAAUUCUUGGAUUUAUGAAAGACGAACUACUGCGAAAGCAUUUGCCAAGGAUGUUUUCAUCA